AUUGAACGCUGGCGGCAUGCUUUACACAUGCAAGUCGAACGGCAGCGCGGGCUUCGGCCUGGCUGCGAGUGGCGAACGGGUGAGUAAUGCAUCGGAACGUGCCCAGUAGUGGGGGAUAGCCCGGCGAAAGCCGGAUUAAUACCGCAUACGACCUGAGGGUGAAAGCGGGGGACCGAAAGGCCUCGCGCUAUUGGAGCGGCCGAUGUCGGAUUAGCUAGUUGGUGGGGUAAAGGCCUACCAAGGCGACGAUCCGUAGCUGGUCUGAGAGGACGACCAGCCACACUGGGACUGAGACACGGCCCAGACUCCUACGGGAGGCAGCAGUGGGGAAUGUUGGACAAUGGGGGCAAACCUGAUCCAGCCAUGCCGAGUGCGGGAAGAAGGCCUUCGGGUUGGAAAGCGCUUUUGUUCGGGAAGAAAUCCUCUGGGCUAAUACCCCGGGGGGAUGACGGUACCGGAAGAAUAAGCACCGGCUAACUACGUG
This 484-nucleotide ribosomal RNA is filed under the name uncultured bacterium. Its description in RNAcentral is "partial 16S ribosomal RNA". It matches the Rfam family "Bacterial small subunit ribosomal RNA", at positions 29 to 507 of the family's 1533-position model. The record is from RNAcentral.